AGUGAACGCUGGCGGUAGGCCUAACACAUGCAAGUCGAACGGCAGCACAGUAAGAGCUUGCUCUUACGGGUGGCGAGUGGCGGACGGGUGAGGAAUACAUCGGAAUCUACUUUUUCGUGGGGGAUAACGUAGGGAAACUUACGCUAAUACCGCAUACGACCUACGGGUGAAAGCAGGGGAUCUUCGGACCUUGCGCGAUUGAAUGAGCCGAUGUCGGAUUAGCUAGUUGGCGGGGUAAAGGCCCACCAAGGCGACGAUCCGUAGCUGGUCUGAGAGGAUGAUCAGCCACACUGGAACUGAGACACGGUCCAGACUCCUACGGGAGGCAGCAGUGGGGGAUAUUGGACAAUGGGCGCAAGCCUGAUCCAGCCAUACCGCGUGGGUAAAGAAGGCCUUCGGGUUGUAAAGCCCUUUUGUUGGGAAAGAAAAGCAGCAGGUUAAUACCCCGCUGUUCUGACGGUACCCAAAGAAUAAGCACCGGCUAACUUCGUG
RNAcentral lists this ribosomal RNA (492 nucleotides) under uncultured bacterium. Its description in RNAcentral is "partial 16S ribosomal RNA". It matches the Rfam family "Bacterial small subunit ribosomal RNA", at positions 29 to 507 of the family's 1533-position model. The record is from RNAcentral.